This 429-nucleotide ribosomal RNA is filed under the name Bacteroidota bacterium. Its description in RNAcentral is "Bacteroidetes bacterium partial 16S ribosomal RNA". It matches the Rfam family "Bacterial small subunit ribosomal RNA", at positions 355 to 776 of the family's 1533-position model. The record is from RNAcentral. Lineage: Bacteria; Pseudomonadati; Bacteroidota.
UAGGGAAUCUUCGGCAAUGGGGGGAACCCUGACCGAGCAACGCCGCGUGAGUGAAGAAGGUUUUCGGAUCGUAAAGCUCUGUUGUUAAGGAAGAACGAGUGUGAGAAUGGAAAGUUCAUGCUGUGACGGUACUUAACCAGAAAGGGACGGCUAACUACGUGCCAGCAGCCGCGGUAAUACGUAGGUCCCGAGCGUUGUCCGGAUUUAUUGGGCGUAAAGCGAGCGCAGGCGGUUAGAAAAGUUUGAAGUGAAAGGCAGUGGCUCAACCAUUGUAGGCUUUGGAAACUGUUUAACUUGAGUGCAGAAGGGGAGAGUGGAAUUCCAUGUGUAGCGGUGAAAUGCGUAGAUAUAUGGAGGAACACCGGUGGCGAAAGCGGCUCUCUGGUCUGUAACUGACGCUGAGGCUCGAAAGCGUGGGGAGCGAACAGG